RNAcentral lists this ribosomal RNA (505 nucleotides) under uncultured bacterium. RNAcentral's name for it is "partial 16S ribosomal RNA". It matches the Rfam family "Bacterial small subunit ribosomal RNA", at positions 30 to 523 of the family's 1533-position model. The record is from RNAcentral.
AUUGAACGCUGGCGGCAGGCUUAACACAUACAAGUCGAGCGGUAACAGAGAGAAGCUUGCUUCUCUGCUGACGAGCGGCGGACGGGUGAGUAAUGCCUAGGAAUCUGCCUAGUAGUGGGGAUAACUUGCCGAAAGGUAAGCUAAUACCGCAUACGUCCUACGGGAGAAAGGAGGGGACCUUCGGGCCUUUCGCUAUUAGAUGAGCCUAGGUCGGAUUAGUUAGUUGGUGAGGUAAUGGCUCACCAAGACCGCGAUCCGUAACUGGUCUGAGUGGAUGAUCACUCACACUGGAACUGAGACACGGUCCAGACUCCUACGGGAGGCAGCAGUGGGGAAUAUUGGACAAUGGGUGGAACCCUGAUCCAGACAUGCCGCGUGUUUGAAGAAGGUCUUAGGAUUGUAAAGCACUUUAAGUUGGGAGGAAGAGCAGUUAACUAAUAUUUGCCUGUUUUGACGUUACCGACAGAAUAAGCACCGGCUAACUUCGUGCUAGCAGCCGCGGUAA